RNAcentral lists this transfer RNA (61 nucleotides) under Aglaiogyrodactylus forficulatus. Its description in RNAcentral is "tRNA-Ala". The record is from RNAcentral. Lineage: Eukaryota; Metazoa; Platyhelminthes; Monogenea; Gyrodactylidea; Oogyrodactylidae.
AAUUUUAUAGUUUAGUGAGAAUAAUUAAUUUGCAAUUAAUAGGAAUCUUAGAUUAAAGUUA